Molecule: long non-coding RNA, 567 nt
Organism: Sardina pilchardus (European sardine)
Lineage: Eukaryota; Metazoa; Chordata; Actinopteri; Clupeiformes; Clupeidae
Exons: 3
Source: RefSeq, a predicted model, not a curated record
GAAUCACGGGAGUCACGGGAGUCGCGGGAAUCACUCUUGUCACGGCUAUCGUGGGCAUCCUUUUCCUUCCUAGACUCCUUCACCACCUGAAAAGCAGAGGCAGAUAAAUCAAAUUAAAACUUCCUGUAGGUGGCGAUCUCAAUGUCCAGCGCCAUCUUGACAUUGAGCAGGUCCUGGUACUCCCUCAGAUGACGGGACAUCUCGUCCUUCAGGUGGCGGAUCUCCUCCUCCAGACGAGCCACGUUGUCCUGGUAGUUGCCAGCCUCCACGCCAAACUGAUCCUCCAUUUGGCGCAUCUGCCUCAGAAGAGCCUCAUUCUGCAGGAACAGACGUCAACGAGCCGAAGACAGAAAGGAUUGGGGGAGAGGUUGGAAACACAAGGAGAGAAGGACAGUGGGCAGACAGAUGGCAGAACAGGAGAGUUGAGAGGGGGAGUGAAAUAGUGAUGACCCCCACCGUGCUCUUCAGAGCCUCGACCUCACAGCUGAGGGCCUGGAUCUGCCGGCGAUACUCGUUGGACUCCUGCUUGGCCUGCCUCAUGGCAUCAUUAUUACGCUUAGCCGACUC